Molecule: microRNA, 19 nt
Filed under: Severe acute respiratory syndrome coronavirus 2
Lineage: Riboviria; Orthornavirae; Pisuviricota; Pisoniviricetes; Nidovirales; Coronaviridae
Description: N-29094
Source: RNAcentral
UCGGCAGACGUGGUCCAGA